CUGCUACUGCUGUGAAGCCCAGUAAUGCAAAGCUGUCCCAGACAGACGGUGUCAAUAGUGGCGCUACACAAUGGCAGCAGACUGGGCAAGCUGUCCACAUCUGAUUGCCAGUGAACCCAGCUGACACACUGAAGGAACCACUUUCACCACAGUGUUACCUCAGCUGUGACACAGAAAGUGCAGAAAGCUGUUGUUCUGAUUGUACACAACACCACUAUCGGGGUUGAUCAUUAUCUGCUAGUCUUGUGUAGCCAGACGAGACGCUGUACCCUCGCAUUUGGUCUGCAUCCUGGCUAGAAGAACUUGGAAGCCUGUCACACGAGGCUACUUGUCUGCUAACCAAUGAGGGGAAGCCACCCACUGAAAUCUAUACUGGCCAUUGACGGAAUAAACUACUAUACAAUUUAAUAAAAAAAUUGGUGCUCCUGGACCACCAGGGAUGCCCGGGCCUCCAGGAAGAACUGGGAGUGAUGGGAUUGAUGGUAUAAAUUCUGAUGAUGGCUCUGCAGGACCACCUGGGGAACAGGGUCUCCAGGGUUACAGAGGAGAGAAGGGCAGCAAAGGGGAGCUGGGGUUAUGAGGGGGAACCAGGACCCCAGGGAAAC
This is a long non-coding RNA of Oncorhynchus masou masou (cherry salmon), 605 nucleotides long. RefSeq lists it as uncharacterized. The transcript is spliced from 4 exons. The record is from RefSeq and is a predicted model, not a curated record. NCBI's taxonomy places the organism in Eukaryota, Metazoa, Chordata, Actinopteri, Salmoniformes, Salmonidae.